Molecule: ribosomal RNA, 718 nt
Filed under: uncultured Fusobacteriota bacterium
Lineage: Bacteria; Fusobacteriati; Fusobacteriota
Description: bacterial SSU rRNA
Rfam family: Bacterial small subunit ribosomal RNA
Source: RNAcentral
CUUCGGGUGAAGGUGGCGGACGGGUGAGUAACGCGUAAAGAACUUGCCUUACAGACUGGGACAACAUUUGGAAACGAAUGCUAAUACCGGAUAUUAUGACUGAGUCGCAUGAUUUGGUUAUGAAAGCUAUAUGCGCUGUGAGAGAGCUUUGCGUCCCAUUAGUUAGUUGGUGAGGUAACGGCUCACCAAGACGAUGAUGGGUAGCCGGCCUGAGAGGGUGAACGGCCACAAGGGGACUGAGACACGGCCCUUACUCCUACGGGAGGCAGCAGUGGGGAAUAUUGGACAAUGGACCAAAAGUCUGAUCCAGCAAUUCUGUGUGCACGAUGAAGUUUUUCGGAAUGUAAAGUGCUUUCAGUUGGGAAGAAGUCAGUGACGGUACCAACAGAAGAAGCGACGGCUAAAUACGUGCCAGCAGCCGCGGUAAUACGUAUGUCGCAAGCGUUAUCCGGAUUUAUUGGGCGUAAAGCGCGUCUAGGCGGUUUAGUAAGUCUGAUGUGAAAAUGCGGGGCUCAACCCCGGUAUUGCGUUGAAACUGCUAAACUAGAGUACUGGAGAGGUAGGCGGAACUACAAGUGUAGAGGUGAAAUUCGUAGAUAUUUGUAGGAAUGCCGAUGGGGAAGCCAGCCUACUGGACCAGGAUACUGACGCUAAAAGCGCGAAAGCGUGGGUAGCAACCAGGAUUAGAUACCUGGUAGUCCACGCCGUAAACGAUGAU